This 468-nucleotide ribosomal RNA is filed under the name uncultured bacterium. RNAcentral's name for it is "partial 16S ribosomal RNA". It matches the Rfam family "Bacterial small subunit ribosomal RNA", at positions 28 to 507 of the family's 1533-position model. The record is from RNAcentral.
GACGAACGCUGGCGGCGUGCUUAACACAUGCAAGUCGAACGGAAAGGCCCUGCUUUUGUGGGGUGCUCGAGUGGCGAACGGGUGAGUAACACGUGAGUAACCUGCCCUUGACUUUGGGAUAACUUCAGGAAACUGGGGCUAAUACCGGAUAGGAGCUCCUGCUGCAUGGUGGGGGUUGGAAAGUUUCGGCGGUUGGGGAUGGACUCGCGGCUUAUCAGCUUGUUGGUGGGGUAGUGGCUUACCAAGGCUUUGACGGGUAGCCGGCCUGAGAGGGUGACCGGCCACAUUGGGACUGAGAUACGGCCCAGACUCCUACGGGAGGCAGCAGUGGGGAAUAUUGCACAAUGGGCGGAAGCCUUAUGCAGCAACGCCGCGUGCGGGAUGACGGCUUGCGGGUUGUAAACCGCUUUCGCCUGUGACGAAGCGUGAGUGACGGUAAUGGGUAAAGAAGCACCGGCUAACUACGUG